This is a long non-coding RNA of Ceratosolen solmsi marchali, 326 nucleotides long. RefSeq lists it as uncharacterized. The record is from RefSeq and is a predicted model, not a curated record. The transcript is spliced from 3 exons. Lineage: Eukaryota; Metazoa; Arthropoda; Insecta; Hymenoptera; Agaonidae.
AAUUAAAACAAAACGCACUCCAAAAACUAUAUCUAGCACGCAAGAUGACACAAAAAGUGAAAAAAAAAAAAGAGUUAGCACACGAGCAACUAUUAAAGAAAAAAAUAUCACGCUGAAUUCAACGAAUAAAAUUAAAAAAACAUCCAAAUCAGAAAAAAGUGAUAGUAAAUUACAAAAUACACCUAAAUCAAAAAAAACUGACAAAAAUCGUUCCAAAAAUAAUACAAAUUCCGAACAAGAUCAACAACAUAUGAAUUUAGCUAUAUCAAAUAAUGAGAGCAAAUCACAAAAAAAAAAAAAUACAAUUGACGAUGAUGCAGAAAAAA